This 81-nucleotide transfer RNA is filed under the name Caudoviricetes sp. RNAcentral's name for it is "tRNA-Asp". It matches the Rfam family "tRNA". Rfam says of the family: Transfer RNA (tRNA) molecules are approximately 80 nucleotides in length. Their secondary structure includes four short double-helical elements and three loops (D, anti-codon, and T loops). Further hydrogen bonds mediate the characteristic L-shaped molecular structure. tRNAs have two regions of fundamental functional importance: the anti-codon, which is responsible for specific mRNA codon recognition, and the 3' end, to which the tRNAs corresponding amino acid is attached (by aminoacyl-tRNA synthetases). tRNAs cope with the degeneracy of the genetic code in two manners: having more than one tRNA (with a specific anti-codon) for a particular amino acid; and 'wobble' base-pairing, i.e. permitting non-standard base-pairing at the 3rd anti-codon position. The record is from RNAcentral. Lineage: Duplodnaviria; Heunggongvirae; Uroviricota; Caudoviricetes.
GGUGUUGUGACGGAAUUGGAUAGACGUAGGGCUGUCAGCCCGAUGGGAAACCAGUGUGAGUUCGAAUCUCAUCAACGCCUA